RNAcentral lists this transfer RNA (88 nucleotides) under Actinomycetota bacterium. Its description in RNAcentral is "Actinobacteria bacterium tRNA-Ser". It matches the Rfam family "tRNA". From Rfam's summary of the family: Transfer RNA (tRNA) molecules are approximately 80 nucleotides in length. Their secondary structure includes four short double-helical elements and three loops (D, anti-codon, and T loops). Lineage: Bacteria; Bacillati; Actinomycetota. The record is from RNAcentral.
GGAGGCAUGGCCGAGCUGGUAAGGCAGCGCGUUGCUACCGCGUAAACGACGUCACAGCCGUUCGCAGGUUCGAGUCCUGCUGCCUCCG